Molecule: long non-coding RNA, 1320 nt
Organism: Oncorhynchus tshawytscha (Chinook salmon)
Lineage: Eukaryota; Metazoa; Chordata; Actinopteri; Salmoniformes; Salmonidae
Source: Ensembl
GUCAGUCAGUCAGUCAGUUUCAGCCCAGUCAGUCAGUCAGUUUCAGCCCAGUCAGUCAGUCAGUCAGUUUCAGCCCAGUAAGUCAGUCAGCCAGUUUCUGCCUAGUCAGUCAGUCAGUCCGUUAGUUUCAGCCCAGUCAGUCAGUCAGUCAGUCAGUUUCAGCCCAGUCAGUCAGUCAGUCAGUUUCUGCCCAGUCAGUCAGUCAGUCCGUUUGUUUCUGCCCAGUCAGUCAGUCCGUUAGUUUCAGCCCAGUCAGUCAGUCAGCCAGUUUCAGCCCAGUCAGUCAGUCAGUCAGUUUCAGCCCAGUCAGUCAGUCAGUUUCAGCCCAGUCAGUCAGUCAGUUUCAGCCCAGUCACCCAGUCAGUCAGUCAGUCAGUCAGUUUCAACCAGUCAGUCAGUCAGUAAGUUUCAGCCCAGUCAGUCAGUCAAUCCGUUUCAGCCCAGUCAGUCAGUCAAUCCGUUAGUUUCUGCCCAGUCAGUCAGUCAGUCCGUUAGUUUCAGCCCAGUCAGUCAGUCAGUCCGUUAGUUUCAGCCCAGUCAGUCAGUCAGUCAUUUUCAGCCCAGUCAGUCACUCAGCCAGUUUCUGCCUAGUCAGUCAGUCAGUCAGUUAGUUUCAGCCCAGUCAGUCAGUCAGUCAGUUUCAGCCCAGUCAGUCAGUCAGUUUCAGCCCAGUCAGUCAGUCAGUUUCAGCCCAGUCAGUCAGUCAGUUUCAGCCAAGUCAGUCAGUCAGUCAGUCAGUUUCAGCCCAGUCAGUCAGUCAGUUUCAGCCCAGUCAGUCAGUCAGUCAGUUUCAGCCCAGUAAGUCAGUCAGCCAGUUUCUGCCUAGUCAGUCAGUCAGUCCGUUAGUUUCAGCCCAGUCAGUCAGUCAGUCAGUCAGUUUCAGCCCAGUCAGUCAGUCAGUCAGUUUCUGCCCAGUCAGUCAGUCAGUCCGUUUGUUUCUGCCCAGUCAGUCAGUCCGUUAGUUUCAGCCCAGUCAGUCAGUCAGCCAUUUUCAGCCCAGUCAGUCAGUCAGUCAGUUUCAGCCCAGUCAGUCAGUCAGUUUCAGCCCAGUCAGUCAGUCAGUUUCAGCCCACCCAGUCAGUCAGUCAGUCAGUUUCAGCCCAGUCAGUCAGUCAGCCAGUUUCUGCCUAGUCAGUCAGUCAGUCAGUUUCAGCCCAGUCAGUCAGUCAGUCAGUUUUCAGCCCAGUCAGUCAGCCAGUUUCAGCCCAGUCAGUCAGUCAGUCAGUUUCAGCCCAGUCAGUCAGUCAGUCAGUUUCAGCCCAGUCAGUCAGUCAGUCAGUCAGUCAGCCAGUUUCUUCCCAGUCAGUCAGUCAGUUUCAG